AUUCCAGCUCCAAUAGCGUAUAUUAAAGUUGUUGCAGUUAAAAAGCUCGUAGUUGGAUUUCUGGCGGGAUGAACACGCCCUCAGCUGAGUGUGCAUGAGCGUCUCACCAUCCUUCUGUUAACCCUUAAGGUUUUAACGACCUUCUGGGGGCUCAGAUAUUUUACCUUGAGAAAAUUAGAGUGUUUCAGGCAGGCUAGCGCCGGGAUACAUUAGCAUGGAAUAAUGGAAUAGGACUUUUUCCUCUUCUGUUGGUCUGAGGGGUUCGAGUAAUGAUUAAUAGGGAUAGUUGGGGGCAUUAGUACUUUGCUGUCAGAGGUGAAAUUCUCGGAUUCGCAAAAGACUAACUUAUGCGAAAGCAUUUGCCAAGGAUGUUUUCAUUA
RNAcentral lists this ribosomal RNA (380 nucleotides) under Pelagostrobilidium sp. RNAcentral's name for it is "partial small subunit ribosomal RNA". It matches the Rfam family "Eukaryotic small subunit ribosomal RNA", at positions 582 to 975 of the family's 1831-position model. Lineage: Eukaryota; Ciliophora; Spirotrichea; Choreotrichida; Strobilidiidae. The record is from RNAcentral.